RNAcentral lists this ribosomal RNA (450 nucleotides) under uncultured bacterium. Its description in RNAcentral is "bacterial SSU rRNA". It matches the Rfam family "Bacterial small subunit ribosomal RNA", at positions 354 to 796 of the family's 1533-position model. The record is from RNAcentral.
GUGGGGAAUAUUGGACAAUGGGCGCAAGCCUGAUCCAGCAAUGCCGCGUGGGUGAAGACGGCCUGCGGGUUGUAAAGCCCUUUAGGCGGGGAGGAACGGUGGGGUGUUAAUACCACUUCACGCUGACGUUACCCGCAGAAUAAGCACCGGCUAACUCCGUGCCAGCAGCCGCGGUAAUACGGAGGGUGCGAGCGUUAAUCGGAAUUACUGGGCGUAAAGCGUGCGUAGGCGGUUGGGUCAGUCAGCCGUGAAAGCCCCGGGCUUAACCUGGGAACGGCGGUUGAGACGGCCCGACUCGAGUGGGCUAGAGGAUCGUGGAAUUCCGGGUGUAGCGGUGAAAUGCGUAGAGAUCCGGAGGAACACCGAUGGCGAAGGCAGCGGUCUGGGGCCACACUGACGCUGAGGCACGACGGCGUGGGGAGCAAACAGGAUUAGAAACCCGUGUAGUCC